AGCGAACGCUGGCGGCAGGCCUAAUACAUGCAAGUCGAACGGUCUCUUCGGAGGCAGUGGCGGACGGGUGAGUAACGCGUGGGAACGUGCCCUUUGGUACGGAACAACUGAGGGAAACUUCAGCUAAUACCGUAUGUGCCCUUCGGGGGAAAGAUUUAUCGCCAUUGGAGCGGCCCGCGUUGGAUUAGCUAGUUGGUGGGGUAAUGGCCCACCAAGGCGACGAUCCAUAGCUGGUCUGAGAGGACGAUCAGCCACACGGGAACUGAGACACGGUCCCGACUCCUACGGGGGGCAGCAGUGAGGAAUAUUGGGCAAUGGGCGCAAGCCUGACCCAGCAACGCCGCGUGGAGGAAGACGGCCUUCGGGUUGUAACUCCUUUACGGGGUAAGAGGAAGGACGGUACCCCGAGAAUAAGUCACGGCUAACUACGUGCCAGCAGCCGCGGUAAU
This 449-nucleotide ribosomal RNA is filed under the name uncultured bacterium. RNAcentral describes it as "bacterial SSU rRNA". It matches the Rfam family "Bacterial small subunit ribosomal RNA", at positions 29 to 524 of the family's 1533-position model. The record is from RNAcentral.